GAAACCAUAUUUCUUCUGGGCAAGCAGUUAAAUGCUCUACGUCCACAAACUGAGUCAAUUGAUUCAUCGUACAGUAAGACAAAUCCAAAGGAUGAAGGAUUCACAGAAGAUGAACCUGCCAACAAUAGCCCAAAAUUUCAAGAAUUAGGUCAGAUGGAAAUGGACAAUGCUACUUCUGCUUUUGUGCAAAGAUUGAGUUCGGAGUCUCCCUUACAAUUUCCCAACAGUUUAUUUAGCCCUUCGGACAGUGAGUCCACCCUUCCAGCCAGAUCCCCAGUACAGCAUUCUAAAUCAAAACCAAAACACAGGCCCACCAAGUCAGC
This 323-nucleotide long non-coding RNA is filed under the name Phaseolus vulgaris (common bean). RNAcentral's name for it is "long non-coding RNA (PVUL_LNC000991)". The record is from RNAcentral. Lineage: Eukaryota; Viridiplantae; Streptophyta; Magnoliopsida; Fabales; Fabaceae.